RNAcentral lists this ribosomal RNA (484 nucleotides) under uncultured bacterium. RNAcentral's name for it is "partial 16S ribosomal RNA". It matches the Rfam family "Bacterial small subunit ribosomal RNA", at positions 30 to 507 of the family's 1533-position model. The record is from RNAcentral.
AUUGAACGCUGGCGGCAGGCCUAACACAUGCAAGUCGAGCGGAUGAAGGGAGCUUGCUCCUGGAUUCAGCGGCGGACGGGUGAGUAAUGCCUAGGAAUCUGCCUGGUAGUGGGGGAUAACGUCCGGAAACGGGCGCUAAUACCGCAUACGUCCUGAGGGAGAAAGUGGGGGAUCUUCGGACCUCACGCUAUCAGAUGAGCCUAGGUCGGAUUAGCUAGUUGGUGGGGUAAAGGCCUACCAAGGCGACGAUCCGUAACUGGUCUGAGAGGAUGAUCAGUCACACUGGAAGUGAGACACGGUCCAGACUCCUACGGGAGGCAGCAGUGGGGAAUAUUGGACAAUGGGCGAAAGCCUGAUCCAGCCAUGCCGCGUGUGUGAAGAAGGUCUUCGGAUUGUAAAGCACUUUAAGUUGGGAGGAAGGGCAGUAAGUUAAUACCUUGCUGUUUUGACGGUACCAACAGAAUAAGCACCGGCUAACUACGUG